CCUACGGGAGGCAGCAGUGGGGAAUAUUGCACAAUGGGGGAAACCCUGAUGCAGCGACGCCGCGUGAGUGAAGAAGUAUUUCGGUACGUAAAGCUCUAUCAGCAGGGAAGAAAAUGACGGUACCUGACUAAGAAGCCCCGGCUAACUACGUGCCAGCAGCCGCGGUAAUACGUAGGGGGCAAGCGUUAUCCGGAUUUACUGGGUGUAAAGGGAGCGUAGACGGCAGCGCAAGUCUGGAGUGAAAUCCCAUGGCUUAACCAUGGAACUGCUUUGGCAACUGUGCAGCUAGAGUGCAGGAGAGGUAAGCGGAAUUCCUAGUGUAGCGGUGAAAUGCGUAGAUAGUAGGAGGAACACCAGUGGCGAAGGCGGCUUACUGGACUGUAACUGACGUUGAGGCUCGAAAGCGUGGGGAGCAAACAGGAUUAGAUACCCGUGUAGUC
Molecule: ribosomal RNA, 440 nt
Filed under: uncultured bacterium
Lineage: Bacteria
Description: partial 16S ribosomal RNA
Rfam family: Bacterial small subunit ribosomal RNA
Source: RNAcentral